AUGCCCACCACCAUGUCCAGGACCCCCUCCACACCCACCAGCACAUCCAGGACCACCAGCACCCCCACUCCCACCACCAGCUCCACUAUGACUUCUGUUAUGGCCACCAGCACCUCUGGAACUUCCACAGCCACCAGCAACUCAAUGGCGACCAACCCAACGAGCACCUCUGAGUCCUCCACACCCACCAGCACCUCCACAACCACCAUCACCACCAGAACCUCUGAGUCCUCCACACCCACCAGCACCUCUGAGUCUUCCACACCCACCAGCACCUCCACAACCACCAUGACCACCAGCACCUCUGAGUCCUCCACACCCACCACCACCUCUGAGUCUUCAACACCCACCACCACCUCCACAACCACCAUGACCACCAGCACCUCUGAGUCCUCCACACCCACCAGCCCCACCACAACCACCAUGACCAGCAGGACCUCUGAGUCUUCCACACCCACCAGCACCUCUGAGUCUUCCACACCCACCAGCACCUCUGAGUCUUCCACACCCACCAGCACCUCUGAGUCUUCCACUCCCACCAGCACCUCUGAGUCUUCCACUCCCACCAGCACCUCUGAGUCUUCCACUCCCACCAGCACCUCUGAGUCCUCCACUCCCACCAGCACCUCUGAGUCCUCCACUCCCACCAGCACCUCUGAGUCCUCCACUCCCACCAGCACCUCCACAACCACCAUGACCCCCAGCACCUCUGAGUCCUCCACACCCACCAGCACCUCCACAACCACCAUGACCACCAGCACCUCUGAGUCCUCCACACCCACCAGCACCUCCACAACCACCAUGACCACCAGCACCUCUGAGUCCUCCACACCCACCAGCACCUCCACAACCACCAUGACCACCAGCACCUCUGAGUCCUCCACACCCACCAGCACCUCCACAACCACCAUGACCACCAGCACCUCUGAGUCCUCCACACCCACCAGCACCUCCACAACCACCAUGACCACCAGCACCUCUGAGUCCUCCACACCCACCAGCACCUCCACAACCACCAUGACCACCAGCACCUCUGAGUCCUCCACACCCACCAGCACCUCCACAACCACCAUGACCACCAGCACCUCUGAGUCCUCCACACCCACCAGCACCUCCACAACCACCAUGACCACCAGCACCUCUGAGUCCUCCACACCCACCAGCACCUCCACAACCACCAUGACCACCAGCACCUCUGAGUCCUCCACACCCACCAGCACCUCCACAACCACCAUGACCACCAGCACCUCUGAGUCCUCCACACCCACCAGCACCUCCACAACCACCAUGACCACCAGCACCUCUGAGUCCUCCACACCCACCAGCACCUCCACAACCACCAUGACCACCAGCACCUCUGAGUCCUCCACACCCACCAGCACCUCCACAACCACCAUGACCACCAGCACCUCUGAGUCCUCCACACCCACCAGCACCUCCACAACCACCAUGACCACCAGCACCUCUGAGUCCUCCACACCCACCAGCACCUCCACAACCACCAUGACCACCAGCACCUCUGAGUCCUCCACACCCACCAGCACCUCCACAACCACCAUGACCACCAGCACCUCUGAGUCCUCCACACCCACCAGCACCUCCACAACCACCAUGACCACCAGCACCUCUGAGUCCUCCACACCCACCAGCACCUCCACAACCACCAUGACCACCAGCACCUCUGAGUCCUCCACACCCACCAGCACCUCCACAACCACCAUGACCACCAGCACCUCUGAGUCCUCCACACCCACCAGCACCUCCACAACCACCAUGACCACCAGCACCUCUGAGUCCUCCACACCCACCAGCACCUCCACAACCACCAUGACCACCAGCACCUCUGAGUCCUCCACACCCACCAGCACCUCCACAACCACCAUGACCACCAGCACCUCUGAGUCCUCCACACCCACCAGCACCUCCACAACCACCAUGACCACCAGCACCUCUGAGUCCUCCACACCCACCAGCACCUCCACAACCACCAUGACCACCAGCACCUCUGAGUCCUCCACACCCACCAGCACCUCCACAACCACCAUGACCACCAGCACCUCUGAGUCCUCCACACCCACCAGCACCUCCACAACCACCAUGACCACCAGCACCUCUGAGUCCUCCACACCCACCAGCACCUCCACAACCACCAUGACCACCAGCACCUCUGAGUCCUCCACACCCACCAGCACCUCCACAACCACCAUGACCACCAGCACCUCUGAGUCCUCCACACCCACCAGCACCUCCACAACCACCAUGACCACCAGCACCUCUGAGUCCUCCACACCCACCAGCACCUCCACAACCACCAUGACCACCAGCACCUCUGAGUCCUCCACACCCACCAGCACCUCCACAACCACCAUGACCACCAGCACCUCUGAGUCCUCCACACCCACCAGCACCUCCACAACCACCAUGACCACCAGCACCUCUGAGUCCUCCACACCCACCAGCACCUCCACAACCACCAUGACCACCAGCACCUCUGAGUCCUCCACACCCACCAGCACCUCCACAACCACCAUGACCACCAGCACCUCUGAGUCCUCCACACCCACCAGCACCUCCACAACCACCAUGACCACCAGCACCUCUGAGUCCUCCACACCCACCAGCACCUCCACAACCACCAUGACCACCAGCACCUCUGAGUCCUCCACACCCACCAGCACCUCCACAACCACCAUGACCACCAGCACCUCUGAGUCCUCCACACCCACCAGCACCUCCACAACCACCAUGACCACCAGCACCUCUGAGUCCUCCACACCCACCAGCACCUCCACAACCACCAUGACCACCAGCACCUCUGAGUCCUCCACACCCACCAGCACCUCCACAACCACCAUGACCACCAGCACCUCUGAGUCCUCCACACCCACCAGCACCUCCACAACCACCAUGACCACCAGCACCUCUGAGUCCUCCACACCCACCAGCACCUCCACAACCACCAUGACCACCAGCACCUCUGAGUCCUCCACACCCACCAGCACCUCCACAACCACCAUGACCACCAGCACCUCUGAGUCCUCCACACCCACCAGCACCUCCACAACCACCAUGACCACCAGCACCUCUGAGUCCUCCACACCCACCAGCACCUCCACAACCACCAUGACCACCAGCACCUCUGAGUCCUCCACACCCACCAGCACCUCCACAACCACCAUGACCACCAGCACCUCUGAGUCCUCCACACCCACCAGCACCUCCACAACCACCAUGACCACCAGCACCUCUGAGUCCUCCACACCCACCAGCACCUCCACAACCACCAUGACCACCAGCACCUCUGAGUCCUCCACACCCACCAGCACCUCCACAACCACCAUGACCACCAGCACCUCUGAGUCCUCCACACCCACCAGCACCUCCACAACCACCAUGACCACCAGCACCUCUGAGUCCUCCACACCCACCAGCACCUCCACAACCACCAUGACCACCAGCACCUCUGAGUCCUCCACACCCACCAGCACCUCCACAACCACCAUGACCACCAGCACCUCUGAGUCCUCCACACCCACCAGCACCUCCACAACCACCAUGACCACCAGCACCUCUGAGUCCUCCACACCCACCAGCACCUCCACAACCACCAUCCCCACCAGCACCUCUGAGUCCUCCACAACCACCAGCACCUUGGGGUCCUCCACACCCACUGAAACCUCUACCACCACCAUGACCACCAGCACAUCCGAGUCCUCCAAACCCACCGAAACUUCCACAAGCACCAUGACCACCAGUACCUCUGAGUCCUCCACACCCUCCGGCAACUUUGAGGCCUCCAAACCUACUGGCACCUCCACAACCACCAUGACCACCAGCACCUCUGAAUUCUCUACACCCACCAGGACCUCCACAACCAUCAUGACCACCAGCACGUCUGAGUUCUCCACACCCACCAGCACCUCUGAGUCUUCCACACCCACCAGCACCUCCACAACCACCAUCCCCACCAGCAUCUCUGAGUCCUCCACAACCACUGGCACCUUGGGGUCCUCUACAACCACUGAAACCUCUACCACCACCAUGACCACCAGAACCUCUGAGUCCUCCACACCCACGGGCACCUCCACAACCACCAUGACCACCAGCACCUCUGAGUCAUCCACACCCACCGAAACCUCCACAACCACCAUCACCACCAGCACCUCUGAGUCCUCCACACCCACCGGCACCUCUGAGUCCUCCACACCCACUGAAAUCUCCACAACCACCAUGACCACCAGCACCUCCGAGCCCUCCACACCCACCAGGACCUCCACAACCACCAUGACCACCAGCACCUCUGAGUCCUCCACACUUACUGGCACCUCCAUAACUGCCAUCACGACCAGCAGCUCUGAUUCCUCCACACUCACCAGCAUCUCUGAGCCCUCCACACCCACCAGCACCUCUGAGUCCUCCACACCCACCAGCACCUCUGAGUCCUCCACACCCACUGAAACCUCCACAACCACCAUGCCCACCAGCACCUCCGAGCCCUCCACACCCACUGGGACCUCCACAACCACCAUGCCCACCAGCACCUCCGAGCCCUCCACACCCACUGGGACCUCCACAACCACCAUGCCCACCAGCACCUCCGAGCCCUCCACACCCACUGGGACCUCCACAACCACCAUGCCCACCAGCACCUCCGAGCCCUCCACACCCACUGGGACCUCCACAACCACCAUGCCCACCAGCACCUCCGAGCCCUCCACACCCACUGGGACCUCCACAACCACCAUGCCCACCAGCACCUCCGAGCCCUCCACACCCACUGGGACCUCCACAACCACCAUGCCCACCAGCACCUCCGAGCCCUCCACACCCACUGGGACCUCCACAACCACCAUGCCCACCAGCACCUCCGAGCCCUCCACACCCACUGGGACCUCCACAACCACCAUGCCCACCAGCACCUCCGAGCCCUCCACACCCACUGGGACCUCCACAACCACCAUGCCCACCAGCACCUCCGAGCCCUCCACACCCACUGGGACCUCCACAACCACCAUGCCCACCAGCACCUCCGAGCCCUCCACACCCACUGGGACCUCCACAACCACCAUGCCCACCAGCACCUCCGAGCCCUCCACACCCACUGGGACCUCCACAACCACCAUGCCCACCAGCACCUCCGAGCCCUCCACACCCACUGGGACCUCCACAACCACCAUGCCCACCAGCACCUCUGAGUCCUCCACACUUACUGGCACCUCCAUAACUGCCAUCACGACCAGCAGCUCUGAUUCCUCCACACUCACCAGCAUCUCUGAGCCCUCCACACCCAACAGCACCUCUUAG
This 5304-nucleotide long non-coding RNA is filed under the name Calidris pugnax (ruff). RNAcentral's name for it is "lncRNA (ENSCPUG00000008579.1)". The record is from RNAcentral. Lineage: Eukaryota; Metazoa; Chordata; Aves; Charadriiformes; Scolopacidae.